Molecule: unclassified non-coding RNA, 376 nt
Filed under: uncultured Alteromonadaceae bacterium
Lineage: Bacteria; Pseudomonadati; Pseudomonadota; Gammaproteobacteria; Alteromonadales; Alteromonadaceae
Description: contains 16S-23S intergenic spacer region
Source: RNAcentral
UCCGGUUUGUCACCGGCAGUCUCCUUAGAGUGCCCAACCUAAUGCUGGCAACUAAGGACAAGGGUUGCGCUCGUUGCGGGACUUAACCCAACAUCUCACGACACGAGCUGACGACAGCCAUGCAGCACCUGUAUCCAGAUUCCCGAAGGCACUUCCUCAUCUCUGAGGAAUUCCUGGUAUGUCAAGAGUAGGUAAGGUUCUUCGCGUUGCAUCGAAUUAAACCACAUGCUCCACCGCUUGUGCGGGCCCCCGUCAAUUCAUUUGAGUUUUAACCUUGCGGCCGUACUCCCCAGGCGGUCUACUUAGCGCGUUAGCUUCGCUACGCACAAAUUAAAUUCGCACACAGCUAGUAGACAGCGUUUACGGUGUGGACUAC